GAUGAACGCUGGCGGCGUGCCUAAUACAUGCAAGUCGAGCGAACAGAUAAGGAGCUUGCUCCUUUGACGUUAGCGGCGGACGGGUGAGUAACACGUGGGUAACCUACCUAUAAGACUGGGAUAACUUCGGGAAACCGGAGCUAAUACCGGAUAAUAUUUCGAACAGCAUGGUUCGAUAGUGAAAGAUGGCUUUGCUAUCACUUAUAGAUGGACCCGCGCCGUAUUAGCUAGUUGGUAAGGUAACGGCUUACCAAGGCUACGAUACGUAGCCGACCUGAGAGGGUGAUCGGCCACACUGGAACUGAGACACGGUCCAGACUCCUACGGGAGGCAGCAGUAGGGAAUCUUCCGCAAUGGGCGAAAGCCUGACGGAGCAACGCCGCGUGAGUGAUGAAGGUCUUCGGAUCGUAAAACUCUGUUAUUAGGGAAGAACAUACGUGUAAGUAACUGUGCACGUCUUGACGGUACCUAAUCAGAAAGCCACGGCUAACUACGUG
RNAcentral lists this ribosomal RNA (497 nucleotides) under uncultured bacterium. Its description in RNAcentral is "partial 16S ribosomal RNA". It matches the Rfam family "Bacterial small subunit ribosomal RNA", at positions 28 to 507 of the family's 1533-position model. The record is from RNAcentral.